This 253-nucleotide ribosomal RNA is filed under the name uncultured bacterium. RNAcentral describes it as "partial 16S ribosomal RNA". It matches the Rfam family "Bacterial small subunit ribosomal RNA", at positions 524 to 776 of the family's 1533-position model. The record is from RNAcentral.
UACGUAGGGUGCAAGCGUUGUCCGGAAUUAUUGGGCGUAAAGAGCUCGUAGGCGGUCUGUCGCGUCGGCUGUGAAAUCCCGGGGCUCAACCCCGGGCCUGCAUUCGAUACGGGCAGACUAGAGUUCGGUAGGGGAGUCUGGAAUUCCUGGUGUAGCGGUGAAAUGCGCAGAUAUCAGGAGGAACACCGGUGGCGAAGGCGGGACUCUGGGCCGAUACUGACGCUGAGGAGCGAAAGCGUGGGGAGCAAACAGG